UCCUUGGGGGACUAGUGGUUAGACCACAGCACUCUCACCACUGUAGCCUAGGUUCAAUUCCCAGCUAGGUAA
Molecule: transfer RNA, 72 nt
Filed under: Pangasianodon hypophthalmus (striped catfish)
Lineage: Eukaryota; Metazoa; Chordata; Actinopteri; Siluriformes; Pangasiidae
Description: tRNA-Glu
Source: RNAcentral